UUCACACAUGGCUGGACCAACUGGUGCUGGAAAAGGCAUUGGAUUGUACAGCUAGAGGCCAGUAGUGAGCACGAGCUGAUUACAACAUAUGGCCAAUGAGGAAUUCUGAAGAUGAAAUGGGACAAAGCUUGUCAUCAUCUGAUGGGAGAAGAAGAUGGGAUGGUCCUAUGUACUCUGGCAUGAAAUCAAGAUGAAGGGAUGGAGAGAACAUUUAGGAGGUGGGAAUUACACACUUUCUUGUCAGGUAAGUAAACAAAACAGAGUUGAAAGAAGGCUGGCUCUGGACAUCAGAACAACCAAGCAGAUGGGACUUCCAAGAGCCAAGCUGGUGGAGUAAUAAGACUCUGCUGAUCAGGUGUCUGACCUUUCGAUUCGUUUGCUUGAGCUGUGCCCUGAUCCUUUUGGCACCACAGAUCUCAGUGGUUUCUGAACAUAGCCAGGCAUUGUUUCCAGGCAGCUUGUCUAGAAACAGAAGAUUUCAUCAUUCAGCUCUCCAAAGUCAUCAUGCCAAUAAUUCUGGAGGAGUGGCCCAUUGUUAAAUGCCCACCACCAAGACAAAUGAGAUGGGAAAGUGAUGCACCUUUCUGCAAAAGAAAACACAGUAGAAACCAGGGGCUUGUUUUUGUUGGGGGGAGGGGGAAGGAAUGUAGGCAAAUAUAG
Phascolarctos cinereus (koala) is the source of this 660-nucleotide long non-coding RNA. RefSeq lists it as uncharacterized. The record is from RefSeq and is a predicted model, not a curated record. Lineage: Eukaryota; Metazoa; Chordata; Mammalia; Diprotodontia; Phascolarctidae.